UCCGGUGAGACACGUUAAUUUGUGGCUACAGAUGUUCUACAGUGAGUUCCACUGUGGCCCCAAUUCUAUUGGCAGUAAAGUUGUACGGUUAUCCAAAAGGCAGUUAGCUUGUCUUUUUCAGCUUUUUCCCUACCCAACGUAUUAACCAGAUAAAACGAGUGUAGAUUCGUUGUUACGUUGUAAAUUUCUAAAUCAUCAAUGGGGGUCGAAUUGAAGCUUCACUUUUCUGUUUGUUUGAGAUCAUCAACCUCUUGGCGAGUUGGGAGGUGAUGCAUUUGUGAAUUCCACUGGUAUUUUCCAGUUUCCACAGUUUGUUGAGGAUCCCUGCACACCCAAGAAGCAUUUUGAUCUCAAGCAAUGGUUCCUAUCCCUAUUCAAUCACGCAAACAAGAGGCAAUUUGCAUAUCAGAUUGUUUCAAUCCUAUGGAAGGGCACACUUUUGGAGGGAUGCAUUGGAAGCAGAAGGUUUGCAUCUAUCAUUCUCAAACUGUUGCUUGUGGAUGAGGGAAUGAUACUAAUGGCAUGGCAAGGCUGGAAAUUAUGGGGUGUAGCAGGCAUAUAUCCUUUCAUAUGUCAUGAUCACUUAUUGAGAAUGGUUUUCUGCAUGUAUGGAUUCCUUCUACCUGCUUACCAAAACCAGAACACAUUAAUCAUGGUAGCAAUUCUUUUAGCUGAUCUCAUAGUAAUUUAUAUCUUGUACCCUGUCACAUCUUUAUAUGGUGCUGUUUCUGGUACUCUUUCUGGCUUGCUAUGAUCUUAUGGACCUCAAUUAAUAUACAGUAAUUGGAAAAUGGCCUGGAGUUUAUGUUCAUCUACAGUGAUUGAGAUGCCAGUGAGCUCUGACACAAGAGAACUGAUUUGGAAGUGCCCAUAUUGCAGAUCUAUGAAUGGAGUGUUUCCUAAUGUUUGUAGAAGUUGUGGGAUGUUUAAUGGGUUUUCUGCAUCUGAUGCUUCCAUAAUGAAUUCCCCACAAAGUUCUUUGAUAAGCCGGAUGCCUAAUUCUGAGCUUGACAGAAGAGACUUGGUUUGGAACUGCGAGUCUUGCACAUUUGAGAAUGAAGUGUUUGUCCCUGUUUGUGAGAUAUGUGGGGCACCAAAUCUCAUGUUUGAUUAGAACACAAUGCAGGGAUCAUGAUGUGCUAUGCACUUUUGUAGACUAAAUGUGAAAUAGAUCUUUAAACCCACCUCUAUAUUUGGCCUUGAAUUUCUCAGAUUUCAAUCUGUAAUUCUGAAUAUUUUCAAAUGAGAUAUCGUCUAGAUGAUUUAAUGGCUGUAACAUAGUGAAAGAGACUUGAAAAUUCUCUCAUACUGAAAUUUCAGAGAGAUGCAUUUAAUUUUUGCCUGUACACUGUUUCUUCUUGUAUAGAUUUUUGAGAUAUUGAAAAUGGUAUUUAUGGAUUUUAUUUGUA
RNA transcript from Cryptomeria japonica (Japanese cedar), 1409 nucleotides. It is a transcript of the gene named rhomboid-like protein 14, mitochondrial, with no coding region annotated. The record is from RefSeq and is a predicted model, not a curated record. Lineage: Eukaryota; Viridiplantae; Streptophyta; Pinopsida; Cupressales; Cupressaceae. The transcript is spliced from 3 exons.